This 3388-nucleotide long non-coding RNA is filed under the name Paramuricea clavata. Lineage: Eukaryota; Metazoa; Cnidaria; Anthozoa; Malacalcyonacea; Plexauridae. The record is from RNAcentral.
GUGAAAGCUGUAUUCUAGGAUUUCCAAGAGAAGUAUUGCGUAUACAGCAAGGUUCAACGUAUCUAACUAUUAAUUGUUACAAUACAAUGUUAGUUGGAAAACGUGGUUAUUGAUAUUGCGGGCAAGACCGAGGACAAGAACGUGGUUAUUAUAAAGUGGCCAGAUUUAUUUUACAUGGACUGAUGGACAUAUGCUGAACUGAGUUUAAUAGAAAGGUCUGAAAGGAAUUCAUCGUACCAAUAACCAUUGACAUUGUAAAUACUCGUAUGUUUAAUAUCAAGCCAGGUUGCAGAAUUUUAAAUCGUGCUGUAAACUUUGUGUAUAUCUUGGAUGCUUAGAUUUCAGGUAGGAAUUGAAUAAAUUCAUUGUUAUUUGAGGUUUUAUUUUGAUUUUACCAUGCCACUUCCUGAUGUGACCUGACAGUGCUUGCAAGUUUAUAAUAAUGCGUCAUCGCCCAGAUGUUGGAUGAAUUUGACAAAAUAUUUUCCUUGCUUGCAAUUCUAAUUUCAUUCCAAAAAUAUGGCGAAGUUUUCUUUGUCUUUUGAAUCCCUUGAGAUUAUUUUUAAUACACACCACCAAACACAAAAUAUGAGAGCAUUCGAUUUAAAAGUUGUCUUUGAUUCGAUGAUUUCGAUCUGAUCUGCUUAAUUUAAUAGAUAAUAGCCGUUUUCACAUUAGAAGACGGACAAGUCGUCUAGACGAACAAAUCGUCUCAAAAUCGUCUUUUAGUCAAACAAAUCAUCAGAUGUGAAAACGUGUCGGACAAAAUUUUAGACGAACAAGUCGUCUGAAUUUGUUCGACUACUUGCAUGUCCGUCUGUGAAGACGAUUUUUGAGAGACGAUUUGUUCGUCUAGACGACUUGUCCGUCUCUAAUGUGAAUAGGGCUAAUGACUUGAAAAUUCCUUACGAAGUAUUUGAAAUUUCUGGUAUCAUAUUCUUGAAAGAAUGAGUAUAAUAUUCUUGAAAGAAUGAGUAUAACCAAACCAAUACAGCCAUUUGCAGUUGCAUUGGGCAUACAGAUGAGUGAAGUUUAAGAACAUCCAGUUUGACUUAAUUUAAUUUUAAAAAGAAUCUAUCGAAGUUUCAAAUUCUCGAUCUGUCCGUUUUGAUAUUAAAUUACUGAUCAUUCAAAUCUCUCUCAAAAUUUGCAAAGAUAGAAUGCAGUCAUGGCUCCUAGCUUGCUUAAUGGUUCGAUUAGUCAGUUUACAAGCAGGCAGAGUUGGUCCUUGAACGGUGGGCCGAGUUGGUUAGUGGGCCGAGUUGACUGUAAAGCAAUAUUUUGCACCCCAGCCACGCUAGAAAUGUUCAGUUUACUGAUAUACCGAAAAUGUUGUCACUUGAUAUUGAAACCAAUAUCGGUUUUUCUGUAUGAGUUUUUCAGUCAUACCGAUAUACCAAAAUUUCCGAUAUAUUGGAAUUUUUGGGUAUACCGUAUCAAAUUUACACACCAUGCAUAUGGCCAAAUCAUCAAUUUUUGUUUUACUCAAAUGCAAAGUAAAAGAAGUAGACAUUUCAUGUUAAAAACAUUGUCAACAUCUAUGAAAUAUUCAAAUUAUUCGAAAUCAAAAAUUCGUUCAAAUUUCUAAUUCAAAAAGCGAAAAACCAAUAUACGACAAUAUCGGACAGACCGGUUUUUCCUUAUUUACAUAAGCAUAGGUAUAAGCAACUACAACAAGGGUGAUAAUUACUAUUUGAUUGGGGAGGGGCUGAAAGCGAGGGCCAAAGGCCCGAGGAAAUUUUUAAAUUUAGAGUCUCUGAAAUGCCAUUUCCUGGACUUUGGGGAAGAUUUGACAGAAUUCUGCUGGUCAGAAAACAGCAUUUUAAUAUGUCAAAAUUUACAAUUUAGUAGUACUAAAUGGGCUAAGCCAUAUUUAGUUAACUAUAUUUUUGAUAAGUUGCAGCAAAGUAUGGGUAAUAUCUUCAUUCUUUGCAUGGAUUAAAUAAUAAAGGUCUUCAUGAUUUUGAAAAAAGAAUGAUUAUUAGCAAAUUAUUGGGGGGGGGGGGGAGUGCAGCCCCCCGGUUGCUACGGCCCUGUUUAUACAACCACAACAAUAAUAAAUUGUAAUCCCUGAAAUGGCAUAAGAGUUUUAAGAGCACUUUAAUUUAUGAAAAUUUUUAUAUUUCCAAGAAAAGAUUUUAAGGUUGCUUUGGGGAUAAAGCACAUCCCCGGUGAAAUGAUCAUGCACAAUUCAUGAAUGUUCAUGAAUAAAUCCAUGAACGUUCAUCAUGAAUGUUUGACCAUGAACAUUCAUGAAAGUUACUCAAAUUGUUCAUGAACUGGUCAUGAAUAUCCACGAACAACAAAUGAGAUUUUUUGAGUUCAUGGCCGUUCACGGUAAUCAUUCUUAAGUAAUCAUUCUUAAGCAUUAACACAGUAACAUGAACAUGAACACAGUAAUCAUUCUUAAGCAAACAUAAGCCAUAUAAAAAUUAUAAUAUACAAAAUGACAUAACUCCAAGAGAAUAUUUUGUAUUACAGUAUAGAUCAUUUACAUUUUAUACACACAUUGUAUUUGAAAAUAUAUAAUUCAAAAUUAUUUUAAUGGUUCUUAGGGCCGGUGUUCAAAAAGCUUGAUUAGUGCUAGACCAUAUAAUAGCCACAUUUAAUUAAAAUACAACAGUUAUAAGAGCUGUAUCAGAUAGCAUUUAUGCAACAGCAAAUAGACUAAAUUUAUGGCAUCAAAUAAACACCUAUACUCUCGCUGUUUAUGUGAUUUGCUGACCAAUUUCAUAGUGAAUAUAGAAUAUUCAAUGCAGAAAGUUAAAGCAUUUCACACAUUUCUAAAUUUUACAAGUCUUACAAGGAUCUCUAGAUUUGAAAUUCAAUAAACUCUCUUCGUGAAUGAGGUAAAUUAUUCUAGGCGAGUCAGAACAUGAGAAAUGAUGCUGAGAUGUUUGGCACAUACAUAGUGCACAAGAUUUGAUAUUGUAAUGCUGUAUCUGCAUGUGUACUGAUUAUCUGCUCAUCCUUUGUAGCUACUUGAAUGACCUGACUUUUACAUUGGUCAGAACGACUCUGACGUGGGAGUUGGGAUAUUCAAAAAAGGGUUACAGGUAGGCAGAAGAAGCUGGACUGCAUGUUGCCUAUUUUUAUAAUCACCUAAGUAUGUUAGUCGUGAUAAUUCUGCCUGCUGCAGCCAAGUGAACAAUACUGUAUCACAACAUCACACAACACUGAGUCUCGCAGAACAAGUGUUGUUUAAUGCUGAAAAUUUCCAGUCCUCAAACGGACCACAAGGUUGCAAUCAGACCUGACCGUAUAUAGCUAUGUUGCAUUGGUAGAGUAACAGGCUAGCAUUUGUAGGUCGCAGCCUCGAAACCAAGCUGUGGCAGGCAAAAUUUUCUGCUUUUGUGGUUUGGAUUCAUUUACUCAAAACAUUUCAUCC